AUUGAACGCUGGCGGCAGGCCUAACACAUGCAAGUCGAACGGUAACAGGAAACAGCUUGCUGUUUCGCUGACGAGUGGCGGCCGGGUGAGGAAUGUCUGUGAAACUGCCUGAUGGAGGGGGAUAACUACUGGAAACGGUAGCUAAUACCGCAUAACGUCGCAAGACCAAAGAGGGGGACCUUCGGGCCUCUUGCCAUCGGAUGUGCCCAGAUGGGAUUAGCUAGUAGGUGGGGUAACGGCUCACCUAGGCGACGAUCCCUAGCUGGUCUGAGAGGAUGACCAGCCACACUGGAACUGAGACACGGUCCAGACUCCUACGGGAGGCAGCAGUGGGGAAUAUUGCACAAAGGGCGCAAGCCUGAUGCAGCCAUGCCGCGUGUAUGAAGAAGGCCUUCGGGUUGUAAAGUACUUUAAGCGGGGAGGAAGGGAGUAAAGUUAAUACCUUUACUCAUUGACGUUACCCGCAGAAGAAGCACCGGCUAACUCCGUG
RNAcentral lists this ribosomal RNA (490 nucleotides) under uncultured bacterium. RNAcentral's name for it is "partial 16S ribosomal RNA". It matches the Rfam family "Bacterial small subunit ribosomal RNA", at positions 30 to 507 of the family's 1533-position model. The record is from RNAcentral.